AAGUCGUAACAAGGUUUCCGUAGGUGAACCUGCGGAAGGAUCAUUAUCAAAAGUCAGUCGGGAGCCCUAGUGGCUGCCGUCUACACCCAAGUCUUUUGUGUACUCAUUGUUUCCUCGGCGGCGUAAGUCGCCGAAUGGACAAACUAAAACCUUUUUGUAAUUGCAAUCAGCGUCAUUAAAUAUCAUAAUAUUUACAACUUUCAACAACGGAUCUCUUGGUUCUG
This 224-nucleotide unclassified non-coding RNA is filed under the name Edenia gomezpompae. RNAcentral describes it as "partial internal transcribed spacer region". The stretch from base 1 to 46 matches the Rfam family "Eukaryotic small subunit ribosomal RNA", at positions 1786 to 1831 of the family's 1831-position model. Lineage: Eukaryota; Fungi; Ascomycota; Dothideomycetes; Pleosporales; Pleosporaceae. The record is from RNAcentral.